CGAGAAAAUCGGCUUGUUGAUUUCCCGUUUCACGGGAGGUAGGAAAGUCCGGACACCGUAGAGCAGCAAAGCGGAUAACAUCCNNGUACAGUUCGGCUGUAGUGAAACCAGGUAAACUCUUUGUGGUGCAAUGAUAAGUAUAUCGGUUCUUUUCAGCAGUGAAAAUAGGAGUUGCUCGCUCUGAAAGCCGAGGGGUAAUCAGCUAAAGUUUUGCAGCAAUGUAAGACGCAGAUAAAUAACAGGCACUUCUUCGGAAGAACAAAAUCCGGCUUAUAGAUUUUCUCGUGGU
Molecule: RNase P RNA, 289 nt
Filed under: Chryseobacterium sp.
Lineage: Bacteria; Pseudomonadati; Bacteroidota; Flavobacteriia; Flavobacteriales; Weeksellaceae
Description: RNase P RNA component class A
Rfam family: Bacterial RNase P class A
About the family: Ribonuclease P (RNase P) is a ubiquitous endoribonuclease, found in archaea, bacteria and eukarya as well as chloroplasts and mitochondria. Its best characterised activity is the generation of mature 5'-ends of tRNAs by cleaving the 5'-leader elements of precursor-tRNAs. Cellular RNase Ps are ribonucleoproteins.
Source: RNAcentral